RNAcentral lists this transfer RNA (65 nucleotides) under Aedes aegypti (yellow fever mosquito). It matches the Rfam family "tRNA". From Rfam's summary of the family: Transfer RNA (tRNA) molecules are approximately 80 nucleotides in length. Lineage: Eukaryota; Metazoa; Arthropoda; Insecta; Diptera; Culicidae. The record is from Rfam by way of RNAcentral.
CUCAGUAGCUUAGUUGGUAAAGCAGUCGUCUAGCACAAAGGUCGUGGACUCGAAUUCCACCUGAG